AAUAGGAACUCCUCCUUGUAAACCUCCCAUUCGCAAUGUCCCUGGACAGUCUGGACACUGUAGCUUCCAUAGAUAGAGGGUCUAUAGUGACCAUCCUAUAAAAGGAACUUCUGAAAGCAUUUGCUUCUACUUACUCUUUCUUCAAACGACAAAAGGAAAUGGCUUGGCAAGAAUUGUCAUCUCAGAAGACAUGACACAAGUGGACACUCGGCCUGUCAGCCUGGGCUUUCUGUUCCCCACUGUGUCUCACAUUCUGCUAAAGCCUGAAGGCUCUUUUCACAUCCCUGCUUAUUCAUGUGCACUACCGUCUUCAGAGGUAAUGAGGUCAAAGAGGAAGUGGGAGGGUGAUCUGAGACAACAUGUGAAACAUGUUUGUACUUUAAAAGGCUUAUAGGAAACAAGUGUCCUUGUCAGCUAAGUGAGUAUGUGCAAUUUGUAACUCUGUGGUUGCCCAGGGCAUAUUGUAUUUUCAUUUUAUUUACUGUUUUUGUGUGAUGUGUGUGUGUGUGUGUGCGUGUGCGUGUGCGUGUGUGUGUGUGUGUGUGUGUGUGUGUAGUGCCUGAGUGGAAAUGCAUGUCCACAUGUGCCACACAUGUAGGUGGAGAUCAGAGGCCAACCUUCAGGAAUGUGUUCUCUCUUUCCUCUCUGGGCUCCAGGGAUUGAACUCAGAUGCUCUGCUUGCACAGCAAGUGUCUCUAUCUGCUGACCCAACUCCUUAGCCCCAUGAUAAGAUUUUUGAACUCUUCUUUCCGGACCCAGAAAAAAGUGGUUGUGUUCCUCCUGUUAGAAACUGAUCCUUUCUGCUUUCUAAUGGCUCACUGGAGGUGAAUUAUUGUCCAAAAGAAGACAAACAGAGCAGGGUAGAUCCAUUUUUUAGAUAUGUGAUCUUUAGAUCCAACACUUAAAGCUUUGAGGGCUCAGGGUCUGGAAUCUGAAGACUAUCUGCUUCUCCCAAAGCAUCCAAAUCUUGGCACUCAGAAUCUUUCACCUCACUUCACCGGGACAACAACUGACAAUAGUUAUCUAUAGUUUCCAAAGGGAUAUGUGAUGUGACACAUAUAUAUGGCAUAUGUAAAUGACACAUGCAUACAAUGAUAUAUAGGGUGAUAUACAUUAGGAAAAUGAGAACAGCUGCAAAGAAGCUGAGAACUGUGCGCAGCUAAACACUACCUGACAUGAGACAACGUGGUAUCUACGUGGCUACAAGCGACUACAGCCGUAUCCCAUGGAAGCCUGUAUGAAAGCCCUUUAGAAGUCCUAUAUCACUGAGUGUCUCUCAAUCAUUGCAGUUGAGAGAUAGCUCCCGUACGUUUGUGCAUAAGAGUGACAUUGAAGGGGUCUGAAAACCUGAGGAUUUCUGGCACCAACCCAAGAGAUCCUGACGACCUACAUCUAGAGUGACUCAAUAGAAUCCAUCAAGAACCACGGCUUCUACAGAGCUGUAGGCUUAUUGUCCCGUGUACUUUCCUGUAGGGGGCAGUAGAGUCUAACCGAUCGAAACGUGGGCUUCACCCGCUCAGCCAAGCUUUGAAGUUAUUGCUGGAUUUCUACAUUACUGAUGCUUUUGUUUCUUAUUCUGUAUAAUGGGCAUGAUGGCUGCAUUUGUUUUAGGGUGUUAGGGAAGAGAGUUGAGCUCUAAAUUUAGGAAAUCAAUUCAAAUUAUUGUGUGGAAGGUUUUCAAGGUAUAAAUGUCUAGCUACUGACGUUCUUUGUAUGUUCUCUUUGUUUCGUGUAUCGCGGCACCUCUUCUUCCCCUUCUGAUUUGUUCCUUCAAAACAAGGUCAGAAGAGGCAUGUCUGAUUCUGCGGACAAGGAAACCUCCUGCCCACCCCACCCGUUUCUCCCUAUCCCAUCUAUGUCCGAUGAUGGUAGCUCUUAAUCACAUCAUGGACAGUUCCUUUAUCAGCUGCCAACUAAGCAUGGGAAGUUUGUGUAAGUGAAAGGGUCACAAAGAGCCUGUCCAGAUCUUCACCUCAGUGGAGCAGAGCUCCAUGCAGUCCGGUGUUUGCUGGUAAACAACAAUUCUAGCUGUUCAAGUGUCUAUUCGCAUGGGCCUUGCUUUUAUCUUUAUAGCUUCAGUCUGCCAACCCUCCCCCGGACCCCCAUGCCAUUCUUCCAGGCAGCCUUGCAAAUCAGCAGGAUGAGUUUAAUGAACAGCAACCACUAUGGUUAUGUCUACCAGGUCACUGAGCCACCCAUCCAUUGCAUCCUUGAUGGGCUUCACUAGCUCUCUUGAGGAAUGUCUCCUCCAUGACAACCAGACAGGCAGGACCUUCACAACAGUUGAAGGAUGGUGGUAACAGGUCCUGGGCAUUAUCCUCCAUUGUUCUUGCACAAGGUCCUCAGCCAACCUUCCCAUUCUCCGAAGCCAGGUGCAUCAUUCUUUCAAGUCUGUAGAAUUCCAAAGAACAAAAUGUCCCUCUCAGGACCUCCUCCCCACAGAACCAUGGCCAGCUCCAGGCUUUCCUCCUCAGCCAGCUGUCUCUUGGCAGACAGUCCUGAGUCUUUCUACUACACUUGCUUCCCGUGACCACCCAACCAGUGGGAGUAAAAUCCAUGGGAUGCUCUCAGAAUUUCAUGGCAUUGUGUCCUGCCUGUAAACGCAGAUGAGCUCAGCCAUCUUUCUUUGUUGUCAUUAUAAAAGUGAAGGUGAGUGGAGGGUGAGAUGUCCUCUCAUCUCAGCAGGACCCUGUUAACUCACAGGGACCUGCAUUCUAUUCUUAGAAACCCACCUGCUUGCUGUCUUUUCCAUGGGCAUCAUUUGGCUGGCAACUGUCCCAUCAAGGAUUAAGUAUAGAGAGAAGUAUUCCCCCUUUAAAAUUCCUUUAAGGGUUCCAGUGUCUUGCAACACUUGAAGAAUUCAUGGGCUUUUCAUUCUCGUUCUCUUCUUCUCUCAUUAAGUAGCAGAAGUUUAGUUGGCUUCUCUGAGUGUCAGAAAAAGUAACUGUCAUUUGUUUGCAAAUGAAACCUGAGCUUUCUGCAAAGGACUCCCCUGCAGAUUCCGUCCCCCAUAACACUCCUCCAGCCUUCCAGUUGAUUUGAGAUAGUUUCCUGUUCUCCCACCUCUUGGAAAUAUUCCAUAGCACGCUGAGCAGACACUUUUAGUC
Molecule: long non-coding RNA, 3107 nt
Filed under: Mus musculus (house mouse)
Lineage: Eukaryota; Metazoa; Chordata; Mammalia; Rodentia; Muridae
Description: long non-coding RNA chr17:70525881-70528988
Source: RNAcentral